GGUCACCCACGGGGGGCAGCAGUGGGGAAUAUUGGACAAUGGGGGAAACCCUGAUCCAGCGACGCCGCGUGAGUGAAGAAGUAUUUCGGUACGUAAAGCUCUAUCAGCAGGAAAGAAAAUGACGGUACCUGACUAAGAAGCCCCGGCUAACUACGUGCCAGCAGCCGCGGUAAUACGUAGGGGGCAAGCGUUAUCCGGAUUUACUGGGUGUAAAGGGAGCGUAGACGGCUGUACAAGUCUGAAGUGAAAGCCCGUGGCUCAACCGCGGAACUGCUUUGGAAACUGUAAAGCUGGAGUACUGGAGG
Molecule: ribosomal RNA, 305 nt
Filed under: uncultured bacterium
Lineage: Bacteria
Description: bacterial SSU rRNA
Rfam family: Bacterial small subunit ribosomal RNA
Source: RNAcentral